GAUGAACGCUAGCGGCAGGCCUAACACAUGCAAGUCGAGGGGUAGAAGGAGCUUGCUCCUUUGAGACCGGCGCCCGGGUGCGUAACGCGUAUGCAAUCUACCUUGUACAGGGGAAUAGCCCAGAGAAAUUUGGAUUAAUGCCCCAUAGUAUAUAACCUUCGCAUGUUGGUUAUAUUAAAGUUCCAACGGUACAAGUUGAGCAUGCGUCCCAUUAGUUAGUUGGUAAGGUAACGGCUUACCAAGACGAUGAUGGGUAGGGGUCCUGAGAGGGAGAUCCCCCACACUGGUACUGAGACACGGACCACACUCCUACGGGAGGCAGCAGUGAGGAAUAUUGGUCAAUGGUCGCAAGACUGAACCAGCCAUGCCGCGUGCAGGAAGACGGUCCUAUGGAUUGUAAACUGCUUUUAUACAGGAAGAAACCCUCCCACGUGUGGGAGCUUGACGGUACUGUAGGAAUAAGGAUCGGCUAACUCCGUG
This 480-nucleotide ribosomal RNA is filed under the name uncultured bacterium. RNAcentral describes it as "partial 16S ribosomal RNA". It matches the Rfam family "Bacterial small subunit ribosomal RNA", at positions 28 to 507 of the family's 1533-position model. The record is from RNAcentral.